RNAcentral lists this ribosomal RNA (116 nucleotides) under uncultured bacterium. Its description in RNAcentral is "partial 16S ribosomal RNA". It matches the Rfam family "Bacterial small subunit ribosomal RNA", at positions 392 to 525 of the family's 1533-position model. The record is from RNAcentral.
GGGCGCCGCGUGCAGGAUGACACAKUUCSGUGCGUAAACUCCUUUUAUGKGGGAAGAUAAUGACGGUACCAUAUGAAUAAGCACCGGCUAACUCCGUGCCAGCAGCCGCCGUAAUA